CCUACGGGUGGCAGCAGUGAGGAAUAUUGGUCAAUGGCCGGAAGGCUGAACCAGCCAUGCCGCGUGAAGGUCAGUGCCCUAUGGGCGUUAAACUUCUUUUGUGCGGGAGCAAAAAUGGUAACGUGUGGCCAGACGAGAGUACCGUACGAAUAAGCAUCGGCUAACUCCGUGCCAGCAGCCGCGGUAAGACGGGGGAUGCAAGCGUUAUCCGGAUUUAUUGGGUUGGAAGGGUGCGUAAGCUGUGAGGUAAGUCAGCGGUGAAAUGCCCCCGCUCAACGGGGUGAAGUGCCAUUGAUACUGCCCUGCUGGAGUGCGGAUGCCGUAGGAGGAAUG
This 333-nucleotide ribosomal RNA is filed under the name uncultured bacterium. RNAcentral describes it as "partial 16S ribosomal RNA". It matches the Rfam family "Bacterial small subunit ribosomal RNA", at positions 338 to 668 of the family's 1533-position model. The record is from RNAcentral.